CUGAUCCAGCCAUGCCGCGUGUGUGAAGAAGGCCUUAUGGUUGUAAAGCACUUUAAGCGAGGAGGAGGCUACUAGUAUUAAUACUACUGGAUAGUGGACGUUACUCGCAGAAUAAGCACCGGCUAACUCUGUGCCAGCAGCCGCGGUAAUACAGAGGGUGCGAGCGUUAAUCGGAUUUACUGGGCGUAAAGCGUGCGUAGGCGGCCAUUUAAGUCAAAUGUGAAAUCCCCGAGCUUAACUUGGGAAUUGCAUUCGAUACUGGAUGGCUAGAGUAUGGGAGAGGAUGGUAGAAUUCCAGGUGUAGCGGUGAAAUGCGUAGAGAUCUGGAGGAAUACCGAUGGCGAAGGCAGCCAUCUGGCCUAAUACUGACGCUGAGGUACGAAAGCAUGGGGAGCAAACAGGAUUAGAUACCCUGGUAGUCCAUGCCGUAAACGAUGUCUACUAGCCGUUGGGGCCUUUGAGGCUUUAGUGGCGCAGCUAACGCGAUAAGUAGACCGCCUGGGGA
Molecule: ribosomal RNA, 505 nt
Filed under: Acinetobacter venetianus
Lineage: Bacteria; Pseudomonadati; Pseudomonadota; Gammaproteobacteria; Moraxellales; Moraxellaceae
Description: bacterial SSU rRNA
Rfam family: Bacterial small subunit ribosomal RNA
Source: RNAcentral